RNAcentral lists this ribosomal RNA (396 nucleotides) under uncultured bacterium. RNAcentral's name for it is "bacterial SSU rRNA". It matches the Rfam family "Bacterial small subunit ribosomal RNA", at positions 28 to 417 of the family's 1533-position model. The record is from RNAcentral.
GACGAACGCUGGCGGCGUGCCUAACACAUGCAAGUUGAGCGACGAACCAGGGCUUGCCCUGGGGCAAAGCAGCGAACGGGUGAGUAACACGUGGGUAACGUGCCCCGAUAACCGGGACAACCCGAGGAAACUCGGGCUAAUACCGGAUGUGCUCGCCGGACAUCAGUCCGGCGCGUAAAGGAAGCUUCGGCCUCCGUAUCGGGAGCGGCCCGCGGCCCAUUAGCUAGUUGGUGAGGUAACGGCUCACCAAGGCCGCGAUGGGUAGCUGGUCUGAGAGGACGAUCAGCCACACUGGGACUGAGACACGGCCCAGACUCCUACGGGAGGCAGCAGUGGGGAAUCUUGCGCAAUGCGCGAAAGCGUGACGCAGCAACGCCGCGUGGGGGAAGAAGGCCU